CCUGCACCACAGCCACAGCAACAUGGGAUCCAAGUCUCCUCUGUGACCUACACUGCAGCUCAUGGCAACGCCAGAUCCUUAACCUACGGAGAAAGUCCAGGGUUAGAACCUUCGUCCUCAUGGAUACUAGUCGGGUUUGUUACUGCUGAACCGCAAUGGGAACUCCAUUUAUGAUGGCUACUAUAUGAUAUUCCACUGUGUGAAUAUAUGACUGUUCAUUCUGUAUUUAGGCUACUUUUGGACUUUCCCUGUUAUGAACAAUACUACCGUGAAUAUUCUUGUACAUGUUUUCCCAGUGUCCCUGUACACCAAUUUGGAUAAAAACCUGGGAGGGAAAAUGUUUGUUGUAAGCCUAUCAAAGUUUAACUUUAAAAGAUAGUGCCAAACUGUACCCAAAGUGGCUGCAGCAGUUCAUACAUAUUCCCACCAGCAGCAUAUGAGAGACCCUAUGGGUCUCUGUCCUUACCAGCAUUUGGUAUUGCCAGAUAUAUUGCAUUUAUACUCAGGAAAAGAACAUUUCUUAAAAACACAAAAAGGAACAGAAACAAAAUUGCCUUGCCCUCCUUCCCCCUAUAUUCUGGGAAAGAUUCAGGGCACAGGAGGUGGUGUAUAAAACUAUUUCCCCACCAACAGCUUUUCAGAAUCUUCUAGCUCUAGAAACCCUCUUCUAGCAAUGAAGUGGAAACAAUGUGGGGGUGUGAGAAGUAGGGAAACUGCAGAAUUUUGUGUCAUGGGGACUCUUUCCAGCAGAUGGGGAAAUUAUUCUGCAGAACCGAAUUAGAAAUCUCUCAUUCUCUCUGUCUUUCUGUCCUGCAAUGCAAACACUGGGUCAGACACCCUUUUAUUCUCUGCAGUAUGUUCCCAAGAUAUUCUCCUUGGAAAUAUCAGAGAACUGAACUGCUUACCUAGUGUCUUCUUUUUUUCUUGGCUACAGAGUAAGAACCCACCAGUUACACUAAGUGAGGUGAGGGGUCCCCUGCACAAGCACUGUGGAGAAUGAGGAAUUCAGAACCAUAGGAAUUGGAAAGCCUAUUUCAACAUUGGCACUCUGCUUGCCUCUUUCAAAAUUGAGUCCUAGUUUCGAUCACUUUGCAGCAGCCUGCGACGUGAUACAGAACACCAGAUGGACAGGAGAAUGUGUGUGGUUUUGCCCAUUGAUUCUGAGAAAGGGAGGGAGCCCAUGUAAAAUAUACAGAAAAACAACCAGGAUAAGCUUGAGAACCAAAGCUUGAUUCUCAACCUGGGAUUAUCAUUCAGCCUAGAGGAUGGCCCCCAGAGGCCGAGCUCCAGGGCAGUUUCACAAGGUAAACCAGCCUGCCUAAGAGAGUAGUUUCCCAGCUAGGCUUAGCAGGGUCCUCUCAAGGCCCUGCAUAAAGGAGGGGAGUCAGGGAGGCUGUUACCAUGCCAUUUUAUUUAUGAUAGAAAUAGAGGGAGUUCCUGUCGUGGCUCAGCAGUAACGAACCCGACUAGGAUCCAUGAGUACACCGGUUUGAUCCCUGGCCUCACUCAGGGAGUUAAGGAUCCAUCAUUGCGGUGAGCUGUGGUGUAGGUCACAGACACGGCUCGGAUCUUGCAUUGCUGUGGCUGUGAUGUGGCAGACAGCUGUAGCUUUGACUUGACUCCUAGCCUGGGACCUUCCAUAUGCCAUGGAUGCGGCCCUAGAAGGCAAAAAAAAGAAAAAAAGAAAAAGAAA
Molecule: long non-coding RNA, 1693 nt
Filed under: Sus scrofa (pig)
Lineage: Eukaryota; Metazoa; Chordata; Mammalia; Artiodactyla; Suidae
Description: lncRNA (ENSSSCG00055023867.1)
Source: RNAcentral